UGCUUUGUUUUCAUGUUGAUUUCAUAGUGGAAAUUUGACUUUAUAAUGAAUCCUCUUUGAUUAAAUAUGAUAAGUAUCUUGUCACUUGCGAGUUUGAGAGCAGCUGCGACGUGCCAUGCAAAUGAUCAUCAAGACGUUCCGGUUAAAUGAGUACGAGAAUUGCGGUUAAGUCUGUUUCGAUCUGUUUGAACUAUAUAGAUAAACAAUACUAUAUAUAUAUGCUCACUAAAUUAGUGACAUUUUAAUUUUCGUUUGGA
Molecule: non-coding RNA, 257 nt
Organism: Paramuricea clavata
Lineage: Eukaryota; Metazoa; Cnidaria; Anthozoa; Malacalcyonacea; Plexauridae
Source: the annotation of a GenBank genome assembly